RNAcentral lists this ribosomal RNA (468 nucleotides) under uncultured bacterium. RNAcentral's name for it is "partial 16S ribosomal RNA". It matches the Rfam family "Bacterial small subunit ribosomal RNA", at positions 28 to 507 of the family's 1533-position model. The record is from RNAcentral.
GACGAACGCUGGCGGCGUGCUUAACACAUGCAAGUCGAACGGAAAGGCCCUGCUUGUGUGGGGUGCUCGAGUGGCGAACGGGUGAGUAACACGUGAGUAACCUGCCCUUGACGUUGGGAUAACUUCAGGAAACUGGGGCUAAUACCUGAGAGGAGCUCCUGCUGCAUGGUGGGGGUUGGAAAGUUUCGGCGGUUGGGGAUGGACUCGCGGCUUAUCAGCUUGUUGGUGGGGGAGUGGCUUACCAAGGCUUUGACGGGUAGCCGGCCUGAGAGGGUGACCGGCGACAUUGCGACUGAGAUACGGCGCAGACUCCUACGGGAGGCAGCAGGGGGGAAUAUUGCACAAUGGGCGGACGCCUGAUGCAGCAACGCCGCGUGCGGGAUGACGGCCUUCGGGUUGUAAACCGCUUUCGGCUGUGACGAAGCGUGAGUGACGGUAAUGGGUAAAGAAGCACCGGCUAACUACGUG